Molecule: long non-coding RNA, 256 nt
Filed under: Homo sapiens (human)
Lineage: Eukaryota; Metazoa; Chordata; Mammalia; Primates; Hominidae
Description: non-protein coding lnc-CRYAA-5:1
Source: RNAcentral
GUGGCCCCUGUCUCAGCUGGCGUUCCGGGAGGUUGUUUACGUCCAGGAGGAAAGCAAAAGCCUGGCCCUGAGCAUCAGGGUGGCUCUGGACGCCAGGGCUGUACUGUGUUCUUUCUCGACACGAAUGAGUUUCUGGACAGUUUUCCCGGCUAGUGCAGACCCACACUGACUGAAAACCGAAAUCUUUGCACAUGAGAAAAAUAACUCCCAUGGCAAGGCGUGGCGGCUCACACCUGUAAUCUCAGUGCUUUGGGAG